This is a long non-coding RNA of Triticum aestivum (bread wheat), 527 nucleotides long. RefSeq lists it as uncharacterized. NCBI's taxonomy places the organism in Eukaryota, Viridiplantae, Streptophyta, Magnoliopsida, Poales, Poaceae. The record is from RefSeq and is a predicted model, not a curated record. The transcript has 4 exons.
AAAAGUGAAUCAUGAAGACGACACUGAUCCUUGGUUUUCUCAAAGGCCAGAAACGCUCCAUUGGGAUGCAGCAGAGUACAAUCAACUCAUUUCCGCUGGGCCGUUGCUGCCACUACUGGAGCAGUAAUCAAGCAUCGGUUCUUAUGACCCAACCACACAGACGGGGAUACCAUGGCAAGUUCAGGCAAGGGCGCUAACGCUGACAGAUGUAUGGGCAACCAACUUCAAGUAGCCAAUGUGGCAAAUCAAGGGCCUUCAUGUAGCACGUGGCAAUAGGAGGCAACCAUGUACCUGCCAUCAACGUCGUACACAGGACACAGUUGCCAUGCCUGGACAGCUGCAUUUGCCAUGCCUGGACAGAUGCAGUUGCCAUGCAUGCAGAACUGCAUUGGCCAUGCCUGGACAACUGCAGUGCUAUGCCUGGGUUGCCAUGCCUAGACGACUGCAUUUGCCAUGCCUGGACAGAUGUAGUUGCCAUGGCAAAUCAAUUGUACUUGCCAUGUGUAACGCCCCGGAACCGAUGCGCC